GUAAUGCUUAGGAAUCUGCCUAUUAGUGGGGGACAACAUCUCGAAAGGGAUGCUAAUACCGCAUACGUCCUACGGGAGAAAGCAGGGGACCUUCGGGCCUUGCGCUAAUAGAUGAGCCUAAGUCGGAUUAGCUAGUUGGUGGGGUAAAGGCCUACCAAGGCGACGAUCUGUAGCGGGUCUGAGAGGAUGAUCCGCCACACUGGGACUGAGACACGGCCCAGACUCCUACGGGAGGCAGCAGAGGGGAAUAUUGGACAAUGGGGGGAACCCUGAUCCAGCCAUGCCGCGUGUGUGAAGAAGGCCUUUUGGUUGUAAAGCACUUUAAGCGAGGAGGAGGCUACCGAGAUUAAUACUCUUGGAUAGUGGACGUUACUUGCAGAAUAAGCACCGGCUAACUCUGUGCCAGCAGCCGCGGUAAUACAGAGGGUGCAAGCGUUAAUCGGAUUUACUGGGCGUAAAGCGCGCGUAGGUGGCCAAUUAAGUCAAAUGUGAAAUCCCCGAGCUUAACUUGGGAAUUGCAUUCGAUACUGGUUGGCUAGAGUAUGGGAGAGGAUGGUAGAAUUCCAGGUGUAGCGGUGAAAUGCGUAGAGAUCUGGAGGAAUACCGAUGGCGAAGGCAGCCAUCUGGCCUAAUACUGACACUGAGGUG
This 648-nucleotide ribosomal RNA is filed under the name uncultured bacterium. Its description in RNAcentral is "bacterial SSU rRNA". It matches the Rfam family "Bacterial small subunit ribosomal RNA", at positions 110 to 753 of the family's 1533-position model. The record is from RNAcentral.